AUGGGUCCCAUGGCACUCAGGUGCAAGAAUUGUCGCAUGAUGUUUCUAAAUCAAAGGUCAUCUGGCUUUGGUGUCCUGCAGAAAAAGGUGGGUGGCAAUGUCAGCCACUAUAAGGUAGCUUUGUCCCUCCAACUCUUCAUCCAAGAGACUGGAACAGAGGAAGGGGCCUCGUUUCUAGGGCACGGCGGCCGCCUCCAUUUCCCUGGCUUCUCGGCUGAGCACCGUGUCGUCGUGGGCCCUGGGGAAUCCCAGAGCAUUUCCAGAGUUCUCCAAGGACCUGACCCCAGAAGACCCAGAUGUCCCUCUCAAAGUCGAGCAGCCUUACAGGGAGGUUCAAGCGAAGACAGUGCUGAGUGUCUGAGCUCCUGCUCCGCUCCUGCAGUGGGAGAAGCUCUGGCUGGGCCCCAGCGUCUCCUGACAGCUACUCUCUGGGCCUCCUGGCCUGCCUGGAUCCCGCUUCUUAGAGCAAAGGUGAGACUGGCCACCUGCUUGUUUGUACCCAGGACAAACUGUGUACACAGCCUGGUCCAUAAACCCCCCUGAGCUCCCUGCAGCUUGCCUGUCCCGUCUCCCCAGGAGGCCGAUUGGAGGAGAGCUGCUCUCUGUCCUGGAGCUGCCCCUGCCCUGGCCAUGCCCUGGCUGCAUUUCUGGAUCAAUGCCCACUGACCAGAGGCCUGACUGUGUCACUGACCUACACGUUGGUGCCACUUCCCUGAGGGGCUCAUAUGUGGACGUUUCAUGGAAGGGACGGCCCCUCUACUUUUUUGAUGAGGUUGAAUUUAAACAGGAUGAAACUUUGGCCCUUGUCACUUUUUUUUUUUAAUGUUUUUAAUUAAAUUGCCUGGGUCACUGACACCCUGGAGAGACUAGGAAAUGCAGCGUUGCAGUUUGUUAAUGAUACACCAUCUGUUUGUUCGCACUGUGUAGUCACAUGAUCUUUGCUCUGCAGAACAUCCUGUCUCACUGGCCUAAACCAGUUUGCGGCUGAAAUGCUUAGGAUGAAUGCCAGAAAAUCUCUCUCUUUUUCUUUGUCUCUCUCUCUCUCUCUCCUCUCCUCUCCUUUCUCCCUCCCUCCCCCUUUCUUUCUCUUACCCAUUUUAAGAUUGGCUGUUAACUCCAAACUUGUUGGCAGAAUUUGUAUUAAUUAUUUAUGACACUUCGUCACCCGGUUCCAUUGCAGUAUUGUAGCUUGACUUCUGAGCCAGUAAGGUGGCCAUAGCUCUGACAAAUGGGGGAAAUUUCAGGGUUGGGGUGGGGAAAGCCCAUGACAGCUGGCCUUUGAGGGCAGCACCGCCCAGCCACAGCUCCCGGGGAAUCGCGGACCCCCCAGGGCAGCAGAAGGUGAAACCAGGGAGCCCCUUCUGACCCAUCACCAAUGGUCUCGUUGUGACUCAUUUUCUUUACCCCUACAAUUCAUGAUCAUUGACUCAUCUCACACGAUAAUUAGAUUAAGUCCAUGACAAGUGCUGCAUCCUAGCUAUUUUGCUGUUGCUGUUGUGGUCCAGGCUGGAAUGCAGUGGCACGAUCUCAGUUUGCUGCAUCCUUCACCUCCCUGCAACCUUCACCUCCCAGGUUCGAGUGAUUCUCCUGCCCCAGCCUCCUGAGUAGCUAGGAUUACAGACACCUGCUACCAUGUCCUGCUAAUGUUUGUAUUUUUAGAAGAAGUGGGGUUUUACCAUGUUGGUCAGCCUGGUGUCAAACUCUUGACCUCAAGUGAUCCCCUGCCUUGGCCUCCCAAAGCGCUGGGAUUACAGGCAUGAGCCACCACCCCUGGCCCAUCCUAGGUUUUUCUCGAUUUUCAUUUUUUUGAAAUGGAGUGAGAGGUGAAGCUGGCUAGGCUUUUGAUUCAGGUGGGGACUUGGACUUUUCUGUCUAGCUAGAGGAUUGUAAACACACCAAUCAGUGCUCUGUGUCUAGCUAAAGGUUUGUAAAUGCACCAAUCAGCACUCUGUAAAAAUGCACCAAUCAGCACUCUGUGUCUAGCUAAAUGUUUGUAAAUGCACCAAUCAGCACUCUGUAAAACGGACCAAUCAGCACUCUGUAAAAUGGACCAAUCAGCAGGAUGUGGGUGGGGCCAAAUAAGGGAAUAAAAGCUGACCACCCAGGAGGCAGCAGCAACCCGCUGGAGUCGCCUGCUAUGCUGGGGAGUGGUGGUUCUUUUGUUUUUCACAGUAAAACUUGCUGGUGCUCACUCUUUGGGUCUGCAGUACCUUUAUGAGCUGUAAGGUUGCGAGGGACAGCCUCAUUCCUGAAGUCAGCGAGAGCAUGAAUCCACUGGGAGGAACAAACAACUCCAGACACGCCACCUUUAAGAGAUGUAACACUCACUGUGAAGGUCUGUCGCUUCACUCCUGAAGUCUGUGAGACCACG
RNAcentral lists this long non-coding RNA (2371 nucleotides) under Macaca nemestrina (pig-tailed macaque). Its description in RNAcentral is "lncRNA (ENSMNEG00000045696.1)". The record is from RNAcentral. Lineage: Eukaryota; Metazoa; Chordata; Mammalia; Primates; Cercopithecidae.